UUUUCUGUAAGUUGUGGAAAUCCGAUACAGAAAUGGAGGUCAUGGAAAAGCUGUAAAUGUCCUACCUAAUAAAGGUAUGUCUUUGUGCAUAUAAUCAUGCAGAGGUGCAGCAGUCCGUGAAGGCCUCUUCACUUCAUCUUGGUUUCAUGGGAACCUGCGUGCAGCUAAUCCUCCUUUUGGGUCUAGAGGGUUUCUCCAAACAAAUCAUCCAGUUCUAAAACCCAAUGCUCCUCAAGUGGGCUCCUGGCUCUCUUUGCAAAGUCCCACCAUAGCAAGGGAAGGAGAAAGGAAUGGGGUGUGGAUAAGCCAGACCAGCAGGAGACUGUCAAGUUGAAGGACUGGAUGACCUGUUUUGGAAGACGGGCUGAGUCUGAAUAAUGGCUGCUCAUGAAGGGGUCAUUGUUUGAUUGGAAGCUCAAGGAAAGCGAGGAUAAAGGCUUGGAUCUUGAUACUUUGA
Molecule: long non-coding RNA, 457 nt
Organism: Poecilia latipinna (sailfin molly)
Lineage: Eukaryota; Metazoa; Chordata; Actinopteri; Cyprinodontiformes; Poeciliidae
Exons: 3
Source: RefSeq, a predicted model, not a curated record